AAUAAACCCUGAUUUCCGUGUCCAAUGUUUAACCGUCCGUCUUAUUUAAAAAAUUAUAAAAAAAUUAAAAAGACAAAUCAUGCAUAAAGUAUUAAUCAUGUUUUAUCAUCUAACAAUAAUGAAAAUACUAAUUAUAAAAAAAAAUUAUAUAUGAUGGACAGACAAAUGUUAGACAUGGAAAUUUAAGGUUUGUUUUUUU
This is a non-coding RNA of Oryza barthii, 199 nucleotides long. The record is from Rfam. Lineage: Eukaryota; Viridiplantae; Streptophyta; Magnoliopsida; Poales; Poaceae.